UACGUAGGGGGCAAGCGUUGUCCGGAAUUAUUGGGCGUAAAGAGCGCGUAGGCGGUCCGAUAAGUCGGCUGUGAAAGUCAGGGGCUCAACCCUUGAAAGCCGGCCGAUACUGUCGGACUAGAGUCCGGAAGAGGCAAGUGGAAUUCCCGGUGUAGCGGUGAAAUGCGCAGAUAUCGGGAGGAACACCAAUGGCGAAGGCAGCUUGCUGGGACGGUACUGACGCUGAGGCGCGAAAGCGUGGGAGCAACAGG
RNAcentral lists this ribosomal RNA (251 nucleotides) under uncultured bacterium. Its description in RNAcentral is "partial 16S ribosomal RNA". It matches the Rfam family "Bacterial small subunit ribosomal RNA", at positions 524 to 776 of the family's 1533-position model. The record is from RNAcentral.